Diabrotica virgifera virgifera (western corn rootworm) is the source of this 1262-nucleotide long non-coding RNA. RefSeq lists it as uncharacterized. The transcript has 4 exons. The record is from RefSeq and is a predicted model, not a curated record. Lineage: Eukaryota; Metazoa; Arthropoda; Insecta; Coleoptera; Chrysomelidae.
UUAUUACUUGAGUGUUUUGUUUAUAAUAUUUUCACUAUCAAUGUAAUAGUUUGUAAAUACCUAAUCACAAUGUGAUUCCAGCUGAAUUACAUGAUUUUAUUGUGUCACCUAAAAAUGCGUGACCUAGAUCUCUGUACCUUGCAGUUGUGUUGUAAAGCGGUUGUAAAGUCCUUUUCAUGAGCAUUUUUCAGUGCGUCACAAAUGAUAGAAAAAAGAAAAGUCACGUGACAACAGUGAAUCAACCCUGCCGACUUCUAAGACUGGCUUGGCACUAGUAAUUUGUCUGUUCAACCUGCACAUACCACAUUAAUAGAGAAGAAAAGUUCUGCGAUUUGGUAGAUUUUUCUAAAAUUGAUAUGGACUUUGGAGUGGCAUUUGGAAAUGGAAAUUGACUUAUUGAUGGAUCGGACAUCAAUUUCGAAAGAAUUAUUUCCUUUCUUCAGUGUGAAAGUCAUAUCAAGGAAAAACAAAUAAAUUUUAUUUGAAAAGGCUACCCAUGAAAACAUUACGGAAGAUGGCAAACAAAAACAUGCAAAUUCUUCUUUGGGUUCCACAUGGAAAUUUUGUGUCAACUAAUAAAAUGGUCAAAAAGAGAUCUUAAUGGACAAACAUAUAUAAUAAAAUAUACCAUCAGAGAUUCCCAGGAAUCAUUCUUACACGUCGGGAAGGUCCAGCAAGAAGUGUAAGACCAUAUUACAUUUUUGAAAUCAAAGAAAAAUGACAUUCAACCAUUAAUUACUGCCAGAGGGAUAUGUGUAUAUUUUGACGAUAUCAGGUAUACAUUUUAUAUUUAUUUAAUCUGGAUUUUCCUUCUGAGUCAGAAAUGUUCUGGAAUUUUAUUGAAUAUUUUAUAUUUUUUUAAUACAAGGUAAUUGCUCUUUUUCUUUCAGAAAAAUAGUUUAGAUAAUCUAAUAACCAAUAAGUCUAAAAUUAUAUCCAAUAAAUAUUGAUUCUACAUAUUUAUAAUUUUUUAUGUUGUUCAUUAUUAUUAAAAAAUAACACAGUUAUAUACAAUAUACAAUAUACUUAUAGAGAAACAGAAAUUUUCUGAAAUUUCAGAACUUUUUAAAUAUUUUCAUCCUGUUUGAUUUUUGUAUAAAAUAAGAAGAAUCAAUUUCUGCUACAUAUAUCUAGUUAUUCAAUUUUUUUCCAAAUUAAAUGACAACAAGAGGUGUGUUAAUUAAAUAUAUUUUUUUUUUCUUUAAAUUUAUAGAUACUUAAUUAUAAUUUGAGAGUCUGCAAAAAAUCGUUGAUUACUAUAU